Molecule: long non-coding RNA, 445 nt
Filed under: Heterocephalus glaber (naked mole-rat)
Lineage: Eukaryota; Metazoa; Chordata; Mammalia; Rodentia; Bathyergidae
Description: lncRNA (ENSHGLG00100029497.2)
Source: RNAcentral
GGGACUACUACCAUAUAUCCGAUCUGUCUGAUUCAAAGGUCAUUAAGCAGUGUAUGACUUAUAAAAGCCUCCAAAACAGUUAAAGGCAACAGUGUUAAAGCUGGAAAGAGCUUAUGGAAUCUGCUACACCUGGGCCAGGACCAGAGAUCCAAAGAGCAAGGAGUGCUAAAUCCUGCCAAGAGAGAGACAACGCUUCUCUGCCCGCAACUGUUUCAUCUCGGCACUCAAGGCUCUGCAAACCACUGUGUGGAAACAUUUGACUCAGGGCAGCCCGCGAGAAGGAAGGAGGCAGGAGCGCCUUUGCAGCAUGCGAGCUACAGUGAGCGUGGCCGGGGCUUGGUGACACCCAGUCCCUCCCUUCUCUGCCUCCCGGUCUUGGGAGUCAGUUAAGUGUUAUAAACUCUUAAUCACACCCUUGUUUUCCCAAAUAAAGUGCAGCUAAUAG